This 775-nucleotide ribosomal RNA is filed under the name uncultured Neocallimastigales. Its description in RNAcentral is "partial large subunit ribosomal RNA". It matches the Rfam family "Eukaryotic large subunit ribosomal RNA", at positions 23 to 646 of the family's 3401-position model. Lineage: Eukaryota; Fungi; Neocallimastigomycota; Neocallimastigomycetes; Neocallimastigales. The record is from RNAcentral.
GAGACUCUGUGCGCGUGCAUAUCAAUAAGCGGAGGAAAAGAAACUAACAAGGAUUCCCUUAGUAACGGCGAGUGAAGCGGGAAGAGCUCAAAUUUGAAAUCUUCAAGGUUCUACCUUGACGAAUUGUAGUUUAUAGAAGUGUUUUCUGUUAGUAGAGUGGCAAAAGUUCUUUGGAAUAGGACAUCAUAGAGGGUGAGAAUCCCGUAUUUGGUCAUUCUUUCUAGCUUUGUGAUACACUUUCAACGAGUCGGAUUGUUUGGGAAUGCAGUCCAAAAUGGGUGGUAAAUUUCAUCUAAAGCUAAAUAUUGGCGAGAGACCGAUAGCGAACAAGUACCGUGAGGGAAAGAUGAAAAGAACUUUGAAAAGAGAGUUAAACAGUACGUGAAAUUGUCAAAAGGGAAGCGUUUGACACCAGUGUUGUUUUUCCGAAAAUCAAUUACGAAUGUUUUGUUUUUAAGAAGUUAUGACUUUAUCGGCUUGCUUCUUUCUUUACGAAACUUUCUUAAUGCACUUUUCGGUUAACAAGUCAACAUCAAUUUCUUUUGUUGUAAAAGGGGUAUGAGGAAGGUGGCUUUCUUUUCGGAGAAAGUGUUUAUAGCCUUGUACCUCUGCAAUCGGAGAGAUUGAGGUCUGCAGCGUAGAUCCUUCGGGGUUAGAUACAUUUGUGCUAAGCUAUAGCUUUUUAUAGACAACUUGUUGACUAUAUUUAGUCUUGUGGCUUACUCGCUUAUGCUAUUUUACCUACGCUUAGGAUGUUGACGAUCAGCUGAGCGCG